This 253-nucleotide ribosomal RNA is filed under the name uncultured bacterium. RNAcentral's name for it is "partial 16S ribosomal RNA". It matches the Rfam family "Bacterial small subunit ribosomal RNA", at positions 524 to 776 of the family's 1533-position model. The record is from RNAcentral.
UACGGGGGGGGCAAGCGUUGUUCGGAAUUACUGGGCGUAAAGGGCUCGUAGGCGGCCAACUAAGUCAGACGUGAAAUCCCUCGGCUUAACCGGGGAACUGCGUCUGAUACUGGAUGGCUAGAGGUUGGGAGAGGGAUGCGGAAUUCCAGGUGUAGCGGUGAAAUGCGUAGAUAUCUGGAGGAAUACCGGUGGCGAAAGCGGCAUCCUGGACCGGCAUUGACGCUGAUGAGCGAAAGCUAGGGGAGCAAACGGG